Molecule: ribosomal RNA, 292 nt
Filed under: uncultured bacterium
Lineage: Bacteria
Description: partial 16S ribosomal RNA
Rfam family: Bacterial small subunit ribosomal RNA
Source: RNAcentral
GUGCCAGCAGCCGCGGUAAAACGUAGGGGACAAGCGUUAUCCGGAUUUACUGGGCGUAAAGCGCCCGUAGGCGGCUUGAUAAGUUGGACGUGAAAGCUCCCGGCUUAACUGGGAGAGGCCGUUCAAAACUGUCGGGCUCGAGUGAGGAAGAGGAGAGCGGAAUUCCCGGUGUAGUGGUGGAAUGCGUAGAGAUCGGGAGGAACACCAGUGGCGAAAGCGGCUCUCUGGUCCUAAACUGACGCUGAGGGGCGAAAGCGUGGGGAGCGAACGGGAUUAGAUACCCUCGUAGUCC